RNAcentral lists this ribosomal RNA (441 nucleotides) under uncultured bacterium. Its description in RNAcentral is "partial 16S ribosomal RNA". It matches the Rfam family "Bacterial small subunit ribosomal RNA", at positions 338 to 795 of the family's 1533-position model. The record is from RNAcentral.
CCUACGGGAGGCAGCAGUGGGGAAUAUUGCACAAUGGGCGAAAGCCUGAUGCAGCAACGCCGCGUGAAGGAAGACGGUUUUCGGAUUGUAAACUUCUGUUCUUAGUGAAGAAUAAUGACGGUAACUAAGGAUCAAGCCACGGAUAACUACGUGCCAGCACCCGCGGUAAUACGUAGGUGGCAAGCGUUGUCCGGUAUUACUGGGUGUAAAGGGAGCGUAGGCGGGAAACCAAGUCAGCUGUGAAAACUACGGGCUAAACCUGUAGACUGCAGUUGAAACUGGCUUUCUUGAGUGAAGUAGAGGUUAGCGGAAUUCCGAGUGUAGCGGUGAAAUGCGUAGAUAUUCGGAGGAAAACCAGUGGCGAAGGCGGCCAACUGGGCUUUAACUGACGCUGAGGCUCGAAAGUGUGGGGAGCAAACAGGAUUAGAUACCCUUGUAGUC